AUGGGACUAUGCAUAAACACCGCAAAAUCCACGGCCUCGCCGAUCAGCUACAAUGACCUAGACCUAGCUGAUGUGCUGCACAACUUUGCCGACUCAAUUGCCCCGUUCCCGAUCAAAUACCUCGGCCUCCCGCUUGUCACAGGCCGGCUUCGGCUCGUGCAUCUGCAGUUUAUCAUAGAUAGAAUCAGGGCCCGACUGGCGGGCUGGAAAAGAAACCUAAUCCACAUCGUGGGACGACGAGUGCUGGUUCGCUGCGUCCUCAGCGCCAUGCCCACCUUUGCGCUUACCGUGCUGAGGGUGCCCAAGAAGAACCUAAAAGAAAUAGACAAGUGCCAAAGUUGUUUCCUUUGGAAGCAAGACGAGGAGAUCUCCGGCGCCAGCUGCAAAGUAAGCUGGGUAGCGGUUUGCACGCCAACGAAAACUGGGGCCUGCGAAUCCCUGACCUACCGCAUUUUGGGGAGCUCUUUGCUUGCGCUGGCCCUGGCUCGGAUGGUGCCACCCUGA
This 504-nucleotide ribosomal RNA is filed under the name Triticum aestivum (bread wheat). RNAcentral describes it as "partial small subunit ribosomal RNA". The record is from RNAcentral. Lineage: Eukaryota; Viridiplantae; Streptophyta; Magnoliopsida; Poales; Poaceae.